RNAcentral lists this long non-coding RNA (42483 nucleotides) under Ananas comosus (pineapple). RNAcentral describes it as "long non-coding RNA (ACOM_LNC015319)". The record is from RNAcentral. Lineage: Eukaryota; Viridiplantae; Streptophyta; Magnoliopsida; Poales; Bromeliaceae.
AAUAGUAUGAAACUCGUUUGGUUGGGGGAUAAAGGAGGGGAUAAGGAGUUAUCCCUCCCUUAUACCCAAACAAAAAAAAGGGGUCCCACCCUUAACGAGUUAUUUCAGGAUAGCACGUAUAUUGACUUGCCAUAAUGCGAAACUAUUGGUCCUGUCAAACUUCUGAAUCUUGAAUUUCGUCGUCAUCUUAAUCCUCAAAGAAAAUAGAAAGGCUUUGAUACUAGUUUGUUAAAAUCGAAACGACGAAAAAUAAAUACAGAAAAUAACUUAAUGCAGAAAAAAAAAGAUAAAAAAAAAAACACACCGACAUUUACGUGGUUUGACCAACGGUCUACGUCUACGGACGGAGACGGAGCUAAUAAUUUAUUAAUGUCAAAAAAAAAUAGAGUACAAAAAAGAUCGCUCAAAGACUAAAACUUAAUUAGUUGGAUCGAAAACGCCGCAACAAAACAACUCCAAAAAAUGGCCUCACUCAAUCCGUACGGACCAACAAAUGUCUUAAUUAGUGCAUACGGCUCCUCCUGCCGGUUGGCUUAAUUAAUUAGAGAAUGCCUCCAGUUAGAACAAGGCUCUCCCGCAAUGAAUGCCCUGCCGGUUCUGCAUGACCACCAGCACCAAAAGGACAGUAGGCUUUGGACAUGAAUUUUGAAAACUUAAUUUGGCAUGGCUUCUCAGUUUGGUCGCACCGGCUUCAUUAAUUUGGCCGCAUAUAUAUAGGAUGUUGCUUCAAAUUAGAGCCUAAUUAGAAUUCUAGUCUAAUUAGAUUUCUAAAUAUAAAUUUAAUCUAAUUUAAUUUGAAAUUAGAUUUCGACUCAUAAUCCAUAUAUACCAAAUUAUAUCAAAUCCUAAUUAAAUUAGGAUUUAAUUCUAAUUUAGAUAACGAUAAAUCUAAACCAAAUAUAACAAAAAUUUUAUUGGUUUUGUAUUUUUGCAAAAUCGCGCCGAUUUUUUAAAUUUUGUAGAUUUGAUUUAGAUUUUAAUAAUAUGAUCAAAUUACCCUUAUUGCUCUCUUUCCUUUCCUUUUCUCAUUCCUCUUAUCUCCUUUGACGCUAUUGCUGUGGUCACCCCCAAACCUUUCUUUAAUAUAGUAGAAAGAAUAGAAAUAGAUGUUUCUUAGACUUUCUUGAGUUUUGUCAUCAUUAUCAUCAUCUCCGACAUUGGAACGUCCUACUUAUUGGAAGUGUGAUUUUCUGUUCUUCAUUCACAUUUUGAUAACUUUCUCUUUAACUUGAUGCAUAAUUACUUCAUUGCCAAAAAUUUUUUAACUGCAUCAUUAUUGCGAACUUUCUCGUCGAUCUGAGUUAUAACUUUUUAUUGAUCAACAUAUUUUCACAAAUUUGAUCUUCUUCAUGAUUUUGGUUAGAUUCUUCUUUCCAAAUUUCUUUAUCUUCACCAUUGGGUUGAAUUUCUUCUUCUUGAAUGUAAUUCUAUUCCUGCAAAUAUUCUCCUCUAAUUUUUGCUAGCAUUCUCCAUGCUUUAUGUGCUGUAUGAAAUAUUCUCAACCAAUAGCAAAUCCACAGCUUAAAAAAAAUAUAUGAUAGAACUUUUCUGUCUUCUUUUGAAAUUCUUCUUUACCAAAUUCUUUUUCAUAAUUUCUAUUCUCCACUAUAUCCCACAAAUCUUGGGAUUCUAAAAAAUAUCGAAUGACCAUUUUCAUUGUUUGAAGUUCAUUCUAUCGAACUUUGGUAAGCCAGGUUGAAUAAACCAAUCUAAAUCCACAACAAAACUUGAAAAUCCAAAAAUUAAGUUUCAAACAUGUAGCUUUUUGAUAUAUUGACCUUCUAUCGAGAUAUGUCCAAGUUUUCCAUACUUUGGCUUGCUUGCCUAUCCCUCCAAGCCAUCUGAUCAAGUCUUCAUUGAUCUCUUCACGAGCUCUCCUUGCUCUCUUUUUCUCAAGAGUCACAACCACCUUCUCUUGUGUGUUGUGUGGAGGCCAACUUCUUCGAAGUGAUUCCUUGCUUUGGUUUUACCUGAACGUCAUCUUCGUCGAUUUGCUACAAGUGGCUUGAUUUUGACAUAGUAAUCUGGUAUAUUGGUUCUGUAUUCUUUCCAAAUUUGAUGCUGUUUGGCUUAAAAGUCGUUUGUUACUUUUUGGCUCUAAUAUCAAUUUUUGGAAACGUGAUUUUCUUUUCAUCAUCCACAUUCUGAUAUAUAAAAAUUUCUUCAGUAACAUUCGGAAAAAGUCAACUUCCUCUUUGAUUUGAUGUGUAAUUACUUCAUCGACGGAAAAUUCUUUAACUACAUCAUUAUUGUGAACUUUCUCAUCGAUUUGACUUGUACCUUUUUGCUGAUCAACAUAUUCUUCACGAAUAUGAUCUUCUUCAUAAUUUUGAUUAAAUUCUUCUUUCCAAAUUUCUUUAUCUUCGCCAUUGGGUUGAAUUUCAAACGUUGGAAAAUUUUAAAGAUAAAGAAAGAAAAUAGCAAACGAAAAUAUAAAAUUAAAAAUGUAAAGUUUUGGUACGAUGCAAGGUGCACACAUUGAAACCAGUGAAUCUAAAAUAUCAAAUCCAAAUAUUUGCAGGAACCUGCAGAUCCCUAAGGUUGAUGUGGAUAAUCAUGACUAUAGGUGGCAAAGAUUUCGUGCAUGGCAAUAUCAUUGGACAGGCGUCAUGCUGCACAACUCGAACAUGAAGACAACUACAGUGUCAGAGAUUGCAAAAUCAAAGUGCGCGUUUCACGAAAUUUACGGUUUGAAAAUAAAGUUUGGAUUAAGGGAGGAUGUUAGAAUAAUAAUCCAAACUUAAUCUAUUAGUUAGAGAUAGGGUGUACCCAAAUUAUACAUUGAUUAUAUUUAAAAGUUUAUGUACUUAGAGUAGAAUUUGUAAUUAUCUAAAAUGAAAGUUAGAUUUAUCAUCUGUUAUGACUUGAUAUCUAUAUAUAGUUAGGCAUGGAUUAAUUAAGAUGAAUAAGCCACAGUAGACAUGACUGCAUAAAGACGAGUGUGUCGCCCAUCGUGUAAUCAAAUGCUUUUUAUUAAUAAAGUAUUAGUUUAGUUUUCUUUUUCCUCCCCCAAUAUCUUUUCUCUAUAUUAUAUUUUGUUCUAUUUUACAUCUUGGGUUAACAAUCGGUAUUAGCAUAAGUGCUAGUUUCAACAAUUGGUAUCAGAAAAAAUCACGCUUCCAACACUACUCUAAUAUAAGCCAAUAUAAGAUUUAUUUCUGCAAUUUUUAUAUUAUACAUUAUUUCUACAAAUAUUAAUUUCUACUCCUUCAGUUGCCGUAUCUUUUUCAUAAAUUUCUGAGAAAAUGUCCGUGGAAAAGACAUCCCCCACAAUGAUUGUACUAUUUUUGUUGGUUUAGCAUUAUGAUGAAUGUACAUUUUGCUAUACCUUUUAUUUGUUCUAUAUACUCUCAUACCUGAUUAGUUGUGGACUCUAGGUUUGUUGUAUGCUACGGGUGUGCGGGGUGUUUCUCGUGUAUUCGGUGGGUUUGAUUAUGCGCUUGGAGGCUUCUGCUGUAAUUUUGGGGCAUGAGAAGUGAUCAUUACCCUCCUCCUACUUCUCUGUCUUUAUUCCGGCGAAGCUCCGAGCAGUGCUGAAUAUUGAUUUUUUUGGUUGUUUUAAAAAAAAAAUUUGUGCUGAAUCUAUAAAAACAAAAAAAAAUAGUCUAUUUUUGCAAAUCCGUAAAACAAAGUGAAUUUUUUAUGCAAAAUGGCUAUUUUAUAUUUAUUCCAAAAUUUAAAUUAAACAUAAAAGACAAAUAAAGUUAUGAAUCUCCUAAAUUUAGGAUUAUAUUACAUAGAUUUUAUAUAUCCAAAUAUUUAUGAUUUUUAUGUGAUUAAUUUUUUGUAAAAUGAUACGUAACAUUAGCCUCCAUAAAAAAUGUAUUAUAAUAAUUUUAUCAAUAUGUGCUGCGAGUCGAUUUUCUUGACUGUUGACUCGGUCAAACGUACUCCCUCGGGAAACAUGCGAGGAGUACAGGGCUACUGAUAAUGACCCUCAAAAUUUGCAUCUGCAAACGAAUCAAGCGAUUCGGCUGAUGAGGAAUCGAAUCAACUAAGUUCAAAGACUACAUAGUGAAUUCGGUUUGGUUGAAGAGUCGAAUGAUACUUAUAUAUAUUGCCGAAAUGGAGAAAAUGUGGAUAGAAAGAGGUACGCCGCUGUGGCGCUUGGUCUUACAAGAAUUACUAACUUAAAACUACUCAUAGAAAAGCAGAAAAUGCGAAGAAAAUGAGAAAUUACAAGUAGACUACUAGAAAGCGAAAAAUGUAGAAAAUUAAGUUGGUCUUCUUGUUCUGGGGAAAAGACCUCUCUUAUAGUCGUCUCUUAUCUAUUUAUAAUUUUGCCUGUUGUUAUUAAGUUUUUCCCUAUGAUUGGCCACAUUCCUUUUUGUAAGCCACUAUCGGCCGAUCCUAACCACAUAAGUCUUAACUGCUUUUUGAUUUUAUGUGCAUUCUUCUUUGCUUCAGGCACACCACAUGUCACCUAUUCCUAGUUUCAAGAGCGACUCUCGCGGUAUAUCCUGGUUCACCAUGUGCCGCAAUUUUAUCGUGCCAACAAUAUAGUUGGAUGAUUUCUGAAUUAAGGGGCUGUUUGGAUCCCUGUAAAACUUUUCUGAAUUGAGGGGCUGUUUGGAUGAUUUUUGUAAAUUUUUUUUCCUACAUUUGGUUGUCCGUAAAAUUUUUUUUGAAAAAGUUAUUUUACAGAUUUUGGAAAAAAAUAUGCGUUUUCGUUUUCCGCGUGCCGUCCGCGGAAAACGAAAACAAGGAGGGAGAUGGCACGGCGUUGGGGAGCGGAUGGGUCAGCAGACACGCGCGCUUCGGCCUCGUGGACCGCAUGAGAGGGAUGUAGUAACCCUGCAAUAUAGUAGUUGAGGCUUGUCGACAGCUCUGGUGAGUGUCGGGACAAGCCCGGAUCGCGUUGGCGCGAAAUGGACGCCAAACGGACUCUGUGGGAACGCGAGCGCAGCUGGUAUCAUGAAAAUCCGCGAAAUAGUAGAUUUUCUGCCACUUGUACCGGUACAAAUUUUGGAAUGUACCGGUAUAAUUGCUACGCAGACUGCUCUCGGGUUGCCCAUUUGUACCGGUACAAACGUGCGUGUAUCGGUACACUUUGGUAGGUGAGAGGGUAAUUCAGUCUUUUUCACCUCGGUUGUAUUGCCAUCCCUUCUCCCUCUCUAUGUAGGAUUGAGAGAACAGAGAGGAGAGGAUUUUUACUCUCUCUCUCUCUCUUCUCCUUGUGCUGGACGUGGGUAGGGGAGGAGCUUGGGUGGAGUUCGGGUGUCGUCGACGUCGCGCCGCGGUGCCGUUCGAGUGUGUAUUCGUCGUCAUGGUGCUGCGAGGAGGCUGGAUGAGCGUGGAUUUUCGCCGUCGUCGACGUUUUGCCGGUUCUAGAGGGGUUUUCGAGGUGAGUGAUCCAUCGAAAUCACUUUAUUUACUUCAAGCUCCAUCAAUUUCGAGCUAGGGUGCUGUUCCUGUAGAAUUCCAGCGUCGACUGUCGGCGUUUCGGCUCGUGUGCGACGUAGGAGCAUCGGAUUUCUACGAAACUUGGUUUGUUGGAUUCUAGACUUCGAGAGGAAUCCACGAAGCCCAAGAUUGCUGAAUUUGGUAAAUGUUAGCUUGGUCGAACUCCUACUCUUCUCUGCUGCUGUUGCUUGGACAGAAUCUCGAGCUUUGAGUCUUCUUUUAUGCUAACUUUGGAGGAAUUGGAAUGUUUACACCAGGGAUGCAUACUCCAACCUAGAUUACUAGAUUUGGAACCUUGCUUCACUAGGAUUGAGGUUUGGAAGGUGAAGUUUCGCUUUGUAAUUAAGGAUUUUUAGCUUAAGUGUUGAUUUUGGGAGGCUAUAAUGCAAGUUUAGUGUUAUUGUGUUUCAGAUCAUUAGAGAUGUGCGGUUGUUGGUUUAGAGUGGACUCGAUUGAGUUUCCUGGUGGUUCGACUUCCUCGCUGUCAGCGUUUAGCUUGAGAGGUGGGUUUAUCAUCGGAUUCUUACUCCUAGAGUCCCGUUGGUCGACAUGUAUAAUUAGUGUGUAUAUGUUACUAUUGUUUUAGCUUAGAUUCAUAAUUAUGCAUGUUUUAGACAUAUGAACUGAAUUUGGAGCAUGAUAUUAAUUGUUAAUAAUUAUACAUGUUGGACUUAGAUUUGACAUAGGAGAAAAAUCAGCGUUCGGGACCUGUCAUAUGUCUAAACUACCUGAGUUAGCUCUAGGAGCCGUUGUAUUUUUGUAUCACCGCAGUAUCCUUGUGGUGAGUACCCCAGGUAGUUCAGAUUACUGUUACGCUCGUGCUGGGAUGCGAGCCUUUUUUUUUUUUUUUUUUGAGAGAUAAGUAGCACACUACCCGCUUCGUUUAUUUCAUUUAGAAAUAAACUUAGCUGAAAAUGUGAAUCAACUAGGAUUCGAACUUGAGUCUCGGGUACCAACCACCAAGCCCUUUGCCACUUGCUUACAGUAGUGUUUACUUUGUUCCGGACUAGUGGGUGCCGUAGUAGUUGACGGGGGACCCAGAUUUGUCGUUUUGAUAUCAGAUUGUGCCGAGGGCACGUGACUAGUUGAUUGGUAGUCCAGUUGGACCUGUUUUCUUGACUUUAGCCUGUAAGAGCCUGAUUGAGCUCGGUAGAGAUACGUUUGCAUACUCGGUUGGGUCGCGCCCACGAGUGCCGCUUCGGAGUUAGGCUUUGUGCGUUCGCGUUGGUGUCGUUACGUCCUAUUUGGACUUGCUCUCCACGGACUACUUAGUGGUAGAGGUAGCUUAGCUUGGGCAGGCGGGACGGGUGUGUUCACAGUCCCUAGUGAGAUUGGGUCUGGAUUUACAGUUUCUGCAGAGGAUAGUGUAGGGACAUUUUAGCUGUAGAUUUAUUCCAGCUCGUAUUUCUAUUCUUUACUCUCUUCUGUAGACUUAGUGGGUGAACCGAUGAUGUUGCGGGCGGCACCCACUGAGGACUACUUGUUUUCAUAGUAGUUCUCAAGCCCAGUUGUUUCUUUUCGUUUUGUAGAGCCUUCGGUGCCGGCUGCUGCAUCCUCUGAGGUUGAUCGUGGCAAGGGCGUCGCGAGUUAGAGCCCUACUAGACAAGCCAGAGCUAGUGGAGUACCAGUUACAGGUAGUUGUAGUUUUUGAGUUCUUAUACAUACUGUUAUUACUAUUUCUCGCGAGGCGAGCUUUUGUGUACAGAUGUUGUAUGUAUAGUGAACUUUUAUUUGCUACCAGGUUAUGUUUUGUUCCUUACAGCUUUAUACUACUGGUUGUAGUAUUGUAUUUUUACAGGUACAGCUAUCGCUUCGUAUACAGGAAAAAUUUCUUUGUAUACGGCGGAUUUGUCAGCGUGCCCGAGGAACGUGAUAUCCGGGGCGUGACUAGAGAUGUCAACGGGUCGGAUUCGGGGCGGGUUUUUAAAAACCCGAACCCGAACCCGACUCCAAACCCGAGACCUGAACCCGAACCCGACGGAUUUUAAAAAUCCAUAUCUAAACCCGAACCCGACCAAAAAUCCGAAACCCGAACCUGAACCCGAACCCGAAAAUUUGAACCUGAAACAAUUAUUUCUUUUUUCAAUAUUUCAAAAUAUAUUAUAUUAAAUCUAAAUUUUUAAAAUACAAAUUUAAAUAUAACAUCAAAUUUUUAUAUAUAUAUUAUAUAUAAUACAAAAUAAAUUCGGGUUCGGGUUCGCGGUUCGGAUCGGGUACAAUCAAAAUCCAUAUCCGAAUCCAUAUCCGUUUGGUUUCUAUUUUGUAUAUCCAUAUCCAAAUCCAUAUCCAUAUCCAUCGGUAUAAUCCGUUUCAUUCGGGUUCGGGUUCGGAUAAAAUUUCGUGGUAUCUAUACCCAUUGACAUCCCUAGGCGUGACAAGGGAGGUCCACGUUGGACCUCUCUCUCAUUAUAUAUAUAUAUUAUAUAUAUAUAGAGAGAGAGAGAGAGAGAGAGAGAGAGAGAGAGAGAGAAGAGAGAGAGAGAGAGAGAAGAGAGUGGGCUGGUAUGCUUCUGGAAGCUUGGAGCCUUUCGUGCUUCCAAGUUGUUUUCGAUGUUCAGACUUUCGAAUCGACGAUCGCUCCGUUAGUUGAUCUAGAGUAUUGAAGUACCUAGAAAGUAAAUUUUGUGAUUUUUCGAUAUCAUUUGCUAGUGAUCGAAGGACUCAAAAUCAAUAAUUUUAAUGGCCGUGGUGAGCUUUGCAAGUUUAACGGUGUGAGAAUAUCCAAAUCACAUGAAAUUUUGAUAGAAAAUUCUUUAUACCAUAUAAAACAGAUCAAUAAUUUUGAUCUAAAAUUUUAAUGUCAUAUCAUCAUAUUUUGUAAGAUUUUUAUUUUCAGCCUGUGAUUUUAAGCCACUUCGAUCACUAGGCAAAUGAUAUCGAAAAAUCGCAAAAUUUAUUUUCUAGAUACUUCAAAUACUCUAGAUCAAGUCUAACGGACCGAUGAUCGUCGAUUCGAAAGUCCGAUCAUCAAAACAACCUGGAAGCGGAGCGCUUCGUGCUUCUAGAAGCACACCAGACGCACUUAUAAUAUAUAUAUAUAGUCCGACUACUAUGCUAUUAAUAGCACGAAGCAAUUAGUGCUACCAAGUUUUCCGCCGUUAGAUCUACCCUUUCGAUCAUUUUCAUCCGUUAGAUCAUACUAUUCAACCAACCAACCACUCAACCCUAGGGGCCCACAUCAUCCUAACCGCACAUCUCUUAAUCCAAUGGCCAAAAACUUGAUAGCACCAUAUAUAUAUAUAUAUAUAUAUAUAUAUAUAUAUUAUAUAUAUAUAUAUAUAUAUAUAUAUAUAUAUAAAUUUUAGUUAUAAAUAUAUAUUUAUUUAUUAUAUUAUUUAUUUAUUUUUAUAUAGAAAUAUUAUUAUAUAAUAUUUUAUUUAUAAAUUUGUAAUUAUUUAUUAAUAUUUUUAAAUAUAUAACUCUUAUAUAUUAUGUAUUUUAUUUAUUAUAAUUUUGUAUAUAUUUAAUCUAUAUAUAAAACUUAUAAUAAUAUAUAUAUAGUAUAUUAAUUGUUAUAUAAUAAUAAUAUAUAUAAUAAAAAAUAUAUUAAAUAGGUUUUCUUUUCCUUUCAACCAAACAAUUAUUAUGAAAAACUAAUUUUCUUUUCCUAGGAACCAAACACUAAGUGACGUAAAACUUUUUUUCCACCGAAAAUUUUUUUUCACUGAAAUUUUUUUUCAUAGUUUUACGUCAAACCAAACACACCCGGAGCCAAAUACUAAAAUGACACAGUCAUAUGUAUUCUAAAAUAUGCAUAAAAUUAAAAUUCUUACACGACAGAAAUUUUACCAUGAAAAUAAAUUUUCGAAAAUGAAAAUUUUAAUCUCGUAAAUCAAACAGGUCAUUAACCCAACAGAUUAGGUCCGGCGUAUGGAGCAUUCGGAUAGACCAGGUGCAGGAAAAUGAUUCCCAAAUACCCAAUCCAGCGGGGCCGAAGUGCCGCGAAAUAUUUUAAACAAGUGUCCAAGUUGAAGUGUCCGAUCGAGCUGUGAAGUUUGUGUCGCAUACGCAAGCCAUUCUCCAACUCUUGCUCCGUUCCAGUUUCCCCCUCUCUUCCUCUCUCUCUCUCUCUCUCUCUCUCUUCCCCUGCACAAUUCCUCUCACCUCAUCUCACCCCCCAUUCUCUCUCUCUCUAUCUCUCUCUCUCUCUUCCCCUGCACAAUUCCUCUCACCUCAUCUCACCCCCCAUCUCCCAUGGCGUCGUCGAUCUCCUCCUCCGCCCUUCGCCUCCUCGGCCGCGCCGGGCGAUUACGCCGAUCCGGCGAACCCUACUUCGCCCUCUCCCCGAUCUCCGCAUCAUCGUCGUCGUCGUCGUUGUCGACCACUACGGCUCCGCUAAUGGAGAAGGAGAAGGAGAAGGAGAAGGAGAAGGAGAAGGAGGAGGAGGUGGUGAUCGUGGGCGGCGGUAUCGCGGGGCUCGCCACCGCGCUCGCGCUCCGCAGGCUCGGCAUCGCGGCGGCGGUGCUGGAGCAGGGCGCCUCGCUCCGCUCCGGCGGGACCUCGCUCACGCUCUCCACGAACGGCUGGCGCGUGCUCGACGCUCUCGGCGUCGCCGACGAGCUCCGCGCCAAGUUCCUUCGGAUCCAAGGGUACACAAUCCAAACCCUAGCUUAAUGGUUUCAUACAUUGCGUUUAGUUUUUUGGUAAAUUGAACUACUUUUCUAGUUAUAAUUAAUCACCACCCAGCAGAGCAACGGUCGCGAGCAACUAAACUUAUUUAAGUUCCUGUAAUUUAACUAAAUCUGCUUCUUGGACAAAGUCUUGAGCUAAGACGUGAUGAGUGUUCACUAUUGUUGAUUGUAGUGAGUUAAUGACGGAACCCUCACUAUCAAGAUACUAAUCACACUAAUAAACAAAUGUGAUGUAUCUGAAUUAUCCACAACCAAGAUAUGCAGGAUUGGAAUAAAUGAAAAAUAUCCAAACACAAUCACAACAGCACAAGAGGAUUUACGUGGUUAACCCAAUCCGGGCUACAUCCACGGGCACGGAGAAAUCAAAUCCACUAUCACAUAAGGAGAUUACAAGAUUUGGUCGGAGAUUACCACUCUAUUACAGUGGGUUUGCAAUCUUCUAAUUGGGAAAAAACCCUUCUUGCUACACCUUCAUCGAAGAACCUUCCGAAUCCGUGAAACCGGCUUCGAAAUGCCUCUUAGAAUUCCUCCAACCAACCUUGAAAGUUUUGAAUCAAGCAGGAAGAACAAGAGAGAUCCUUCUCCAACCCUCUCUACACCUCUCUUCUCUGUCUCAAGAAAAGAGAACCCUAGAGAGCAAAAAAAAUGAGAACUCUCUCAUUCUAAACACAAAAAGAAUCCUCUCUUAACAUCACUUGGCCCAAUAUACCAAAUGGGUCAACUAAUGCUCAAACCAAUUACUAACUAACCUAUUACAUGAGUUGUUGAACCAAACCCAAAAUAAAACCAACUAGGCUAAUAAGUGAAUUUGAUAUCACUAACCCAACAGAAUAUAAAAAAAUAUUAAAAUAGAAUUUUCUAGCAGCUUAAACUUUCAGAAAAAAAUAAUUAUUUAAUAUUAUUUCACACGGUAUUAAAGCUAAAGGUUUUGAUCUCCUAGCUUUAUUUAAUUUUCUGGCAAAAUUAAUCUACUUAUAUGGGCUUGAGGGAGUGAUGGAUGCAAAAAAAAAAAGAGGAGUAAAAUACCGUUCUUUGGCAGCUUAAUGAAGCUUUCCGAAAAAAGUGGUUUCAUGUUUUUUCGCGACUUUAACAUAUAUACAGUAAUCCCCUAUUCUCUAGAAGCUUAAAUUGGUAGGAAUCAUUGGUUUUUUUUUUCCCACACUAUAAUGCCUGAAAUUUUGAUUGUGUCAGUGAGACAUUUGAUAAUGCAAAAGUUCCGGGGUAUCCCCGCUACCAAACGCAGCUUAGGCACUGGUUGCAUCCUGUUGACAUCUUGUAUACUUCCAAUCCUGAUUUCUUAGCAGAGUAAAUGCACCCAUUAAAUGCACCCAUUCACUUUAAUUUUCAAUACCUAUAACAAUUGAAUAAUUUGAUCUUAUGAAUCGAUUUUCCUUAUAAUAUGCUGUUUCACGAGACAGGUGAUGUUAUUUGUUAAAUUUAAUAUAUAUGUUCAUGGUAAAUCAUAUAAAAUCAGAAUAGUAACCUUGAGGAGGUGCCGGUGUGGACCACUAGGUAUCUCAACGACAUGUUAUGAUGUCCCCACAAUAUCUUCUUGCUGCAUAUUGAAGCAAAAAUUUCUAAUUGGAUCUUCUGUUUUCUAUGCUCACUUUUGUUUAUGCUUGAAACGUUCUAUAUGCGUGAAUGUAUAUUAAGUUCUACUACUAGAAUCUCUAGACAUUUUGGUUGUGGCUUAUGCUUCUCGAUCAGAGAAGCUAUUCUAGAAAUCAAACCAAAGAGGUACUGUGUCAGAGGGGUACAGGUUUCUAAAUUUAAUUCUUACCUGUAUUUUCUCUUUUGUUUGCGAUAUUUUGUUCUUAUUUCUUUGGUGGGUCAACUGUGUGCAGACUGGUGAUGAGAUCAGAAGAUGGGAAAGAGCUCAGAUCUUUCAGAUUUGAGGAUGAAGCCCCUGGGUAAAAUUGCAUAUUAUUUCUUUUUGUUGUACUAAUGAUGGUAAUAAAGUUGAAUUUGUGAAUUCUUUAGCUGAAAGCCUGAAAUAGUUUUGGACUGCAUCCACCGUAGUUCAAUUAAUACAGGUCCUAAACUAUUUUAUUUUCUCUGGCAUUUGAGGACCUUGAAAGUCGUUGUUACCUUUUAAACAGAAUAUUCUCUUUCUUAACAAAAUAUUUUUACGACUUUUGACUAACCAUUACGUCUAAUAGAUUUUGACUGAAAUUCAAAAAUUAGUUCGCUGAGAGGCUCAAACCUAAAAUAUUUUAACCAUGCAGUUACAGAUACAUGUACCUAAUGUGUUUCAACCUUCAAGCUAUCUGAUGCUAGUCUUCUACAGGCAAGAAUUGCGGGCAGUAGAAAGGAGAGUUCUUGUGGAGACUCUAGCUGGGAGAUUACCUCCAAACACAAUUUCCUUUUCUUCGAGAUUGAGAUCGAUUGCAUGGCAAGGGAAAGAUGGUAUUCUUCUGGAGCUAGAUGAUGGUCGCCGAGUACUUGCUAAGGUAUUUUAAAACAACUUAACAUGUUUUCCCUUUUUCGUUUGUAAUGCCUAGGUAAUUAUAAUUUACAUGGUUGAUUUGCAUUUCCUUUGCAACAUAUAGUGGUGGAUAUUUUAUAUUCCAUAUGUAACAUUUCAACACAAUUGUUUCUUAUCUUCUCUGUUAGGAACAGGUUAACUACAAACCAAUCUAUAUGACAAGUUCUAAUCUCCUUCUAUGUAAAGCAGAUUAACUUACAAAUGUUUGAGCAAUCUUAAGGAAGUUAAUAAGGAAAUUGUAGUGUUGUGUAACUUGUGUUACUGUAACAUUGAUUGAUCCAAGGGACUAAUGGUUUUGAGAGUAAAAAAGAGAUAGAGAUACAAGGAUAAAUAAACUGUGUACAUAUGAGAUAGGCCGCACGGAAAUAAAAACAUGAGGAUGCUUUAUUAAAAAUCAAGAUGGCUUCAUGAUUUUCCACGAAAUUCCAAUUUACAAUGAAUAGUGCCGGAUAUUAGUAGGGAUGUCAAUGUGUCAGAUUCGGGGUGGAUUUUCAAAACCUGAACUUGACUACAAACCCGAAAUCCGAACCCGAAACAAUUAUUUCUCUUUACCACAUCUCAACAAACUAUUCUCGAUUUUGACCAUGCUAUGCAUCAAUCUAGUAGCUUAUCUACUGUCUACUGGUCCUCAUCAAUCUUCUCUAUUUCCAUGCAUAUGAUGCAGUGUAUAGUGUAUUAAGCAGUAAUCUCGAAUGGUUCUCUUAACAUAUGACGAGCAUAUGCAUAAAUCGACGGCACUUGUGUACAUAUCAUGUAUGUGGAUCUUUUUUUGCAUUUAUGUGUAUGUUCCCCAUUCUUUCUUAAGGCCUCUCUUAUUUAAACUGGAGUUAUUGUAAAAAUGCUAUUUGAGUAGAGUUGCUCAUUACGAUAAUAUCAUUUUUCGAAAAUCCCUUCCUCCGAAAGCUUCUCGCUGCAAUACAAACAGAAGCUUUAAAUUGCUGCUUCUUCCUUGAACCUAGAAGCGCAUCGUGGUUUUCUGCACCAGCGAAAGCUACGGGCUCUUGUUCCUGACUGCCCGAUUGCUUCUUUCUUGGAGAGGAGAAGUUUAUUCUAGAAGUCGGGCCAAUGGGGUUCUUAAUCUUAAUCACGCACAAAAUGUUUUUGAAGCAAGCUUGGAAUUUACUCAACCUAUCAUGUUAUUUUACCGAAUCCUCUGUUACAGAUUGUGAUUGGCUGUGAUGGUGUCAACUCACCAAUAGCAAAGUGGAUGGGGUUUUCCGAGCCUAAGUAUGCGGGACACUCUGCUUUUCGUGGUCUUGGACAAUAUCCUGAAGGCCAACAAUAUGAGUCAAAGGUGAACUACUUCUAUGGAAGGGGCCUCCGUGCGGGCUUUGUUCCAGCUUCUCCUACUAAAGUUUAUUGGUUCAUCUGCUUCAACAGCCAAUCCCGAGGUCUCUCUUUUUUCUGUUCUUUGAUAUGUGGCUAUACUAUUUGCUUGAAUAUCAGUUGCGUAUUUCAUUUUAUAUAUAGAUAGAAUGCACUUGACUUUACAUAGGGAUAGUCAAAUAUGGUUUUGAUGAAAAAUAUCUUUCCCUUAACAUUAACACACUUUUGCAAACUACCAUCUGAAAUUUGACGAGUAAACAACACUGCACGAACAUUUGGUUUCUGUGAUGAUCUCUUCAUUAAUAGCCAUUAUAUCACAUUACAACGAAAAAAUAUUUGCAACUAAUUUAAGCUCAUGUAGGUAUUUAAAAGAAAAAGGGUAAAUAUUUGAACCUUUACGGGUUACGUGACAGCCAUGCUCUAAAGGUAGUUACAAAAUCCACGGAAAUUAGGGAUGGAUGGUUUGAUUACAUGGAUAAUUUGCGUUUGUAAUUUUUUAACCUUUUAUAUUCAUAUUGUGAUUUAGCAUGCGGCCUUCCGCGCUACAGGUUAUGAAGUUGUCGAUGAGGCUAAAAUUAAACUAAAAAUUUACAUGUACUGUCUAAUUGUGUAAGGCACGUGCUUGCUGUUGAAAUCUUACGAUAUAUUAUGUCUUGGUCGGUCAAGUGCUCUUUCAUGUUUGGCUGGCCUGUCAGGGAGUCCAGAAAAGUGCUAUUUGAAAAAUACAAUUCGACAAAGCACUAAUGGUUUCUCAUUAACAUCAGAAGGUUCAGGUUUGAAGUUUUCAAUUUAGGUGUCCCAAAAGCUUGUUUAAGUUCCUUGGAGUAAGGAAAGCUUCUUUAAUUUUAGCUUCGUGCCGCUUGUGUUUCGUAAAGAAGCUGUUUCAAAGGCUUGUUAACUGAAUUCUUUGAUCCAACAUUCCAAACAGGACCGUGGAUAGCCGAUCCAUCAGCCCUCAAGAAAGAGGCCUUGGAUCUUGUUCAAACUUGGCCGCAGGAGCUCCUCGACAUCAUACACAACACCCCCGACGACGCCAUCGUCAAGAACCCGUUCGUCGACCGCUGGCUCUGGCCAGGCCUCAGCCCAUCGCCAGUUGCAGCAGCUUCGAACGGCGGUGGCAGUGCGGUGGCGGUGGUGGCCGGGGAUGCGUGGCACCCCAUGACGCCCAACCUUGGCCAGGGCGCGUGCUGCGCUCUAGAAGAUGCCGUCGUCCUUGCUGGAAAGCUUGCACCGGCACUCGCAGGCAGCAGAGGAGCAGUGGCGGCAGCACUGGGGGAGUAUGCGCGGGAGCGUUGGGCGAGAGUGUUUCCCUUAACGGCGCGUGCCGGACUUGUCGGAUCUUUGCUGCAGUGGGAGAAUCCAAUAGUGUAUGCUUUUAGGAAUAAGGUAAUGAUUCCCAGGUUGGCUCGAUUGGGGCCAUUACUGAAGCACACAAACUUCGAAUCUGAGGUGUUGGAGACCAUUGCAUCCAAGUGAAGCCACACAUGAUUUCAUAUUCAUAGGGAGGUAAAGAUUACAUACACAAUUUGAGUUAUAAACCAUUUAUAAGAUGAUGUAUGUUCGAACUUUUUAAUUUGGUACCCAUAGGUUUCGUAAUUUUGAAUUCAGUGACCCGCCACCCCCUCCAUUAGGUACUAUAGGGGCCAUUUGUUUGGGUAUGCUUCCAAAUACUACACAAAAUACCAUGGAAUUGUCAAUAUGGAUAUUUUUGAGGCCUUGUUUGGAUGUCAGAAUAAGGCAUCUAAUGAUAACUUGUUGAAUAAAAAAGUUUUCUUUAUGAUUGAGUGCCAAAAAGCGACUUACUAAAAAAUUUAGUUAUCUGUAUCUCAUGUGUAUAACAUAUUUUACUUACGAGAUGAUUUAUUUUAUUUUAAAAAAAUAUUUUGUAUGCUGACUAUGAUAUUUAUUCUAGAUAUUUGAUUUUUUUUUUCAUCUCUCAAAUAUUCCAUAAUUUUAGGAUAAAUUAAAGUGAUAUAUCAAAUAAAAUGUUUACGCAUCCAAAUAGACUUUAAAUUCAUCUUUUGCUCAUAGGUUGCUGGUAUUAUAAUUACCCUUUUUUGGGUUUGUGCUGUAGUUGCACGUAACAUUGGAAUGUCUAAAAAAAAAGGAAAAAAAAAAGGGAGUUAAGGUGGUACCUAAUGUAGAGUAAAUUUACUAUGUUUCUUUUUAGGAUUAGUUCCCACAAAUAUAAUGAAUGAUAAAUAUAUUCUUAUAAAGUUAAAUUUUUAUAUGUUGUCUCUACAAAAAUUUUAAUAUUUUCAAAUAUAUUCUUUUGGUUUGUUACUGUUAAAGAACCGUUUUAAAGAACUGUUUAUAUUUUUAAUUUUGCCAUCAUAAAUAUGGCCCUCUAAAAGUCAUAACACUAUAAUAUAAAAGGGUAAAAUUGUCGGAUCGUUGGCGCUAACCAUUAAUCCCAAAAGCUCGAGCUGUUAGAAAUACGCAAUCAAUUGACUUAAAGCGUAAGAUACAGGACCCACGGAUCUUGACUGUGACUCGAACCAACUAGCUUCACACCACUUCGAACAUGACUCGGGCCCAUCCAGCCUCACGCCAUUUCAAACAUGACUUGACCCAACAUAUCCUUUUGCCACAUGGUAAGAUGCUGGUCCAUUUAAGCCAACAAAAAUGACAAAGACUAACCAACGUAAAGUACUUAAUCUAUAGUAAACUAAAUUUUUCUAACGAAUUCUAACGAUAGGGACAUAUUUGAAAAUAUCAUGAUUUUGUAGGAACAACAUAUGAAAGCUGACUUUGUAGGAAUAUAUUUGUCAUUUACUAUAUUUAUAGAGACCUAUAUGAAUUAACCCUUCUUUUUAUAUGUUUGUGUAGGCUAUCUUUUCCUAUGUUUGUCUAGGUUUGAUUAGCAGCAGGUGUGCAUCAUCUACAGGUUUAACUAUAGUUGGGAACAAAUGUAAAAACAAAAUUUUUAAAUUUGUACUAGUCAUACCUCGCAUGAUUAGUUUAAGCAAUUAGUGGUUGGUAUUUAAGGUUCUAAACUUAAAACCUAGUUGUUUCAUAUUCAUUGUCUACAGUGCUUCUAGAUCAACAAAACACCUCUUUAGACUUCGUUUGAAAUUAUAGAUCAAUUAUAUUAUAAUUAGGUGAAAAAAUAGGAUAAAAUAUAUUCCGUUUGUUCUUUUAAGCUAUAAUAUUAUGCAUAUUAAUAAUUCAGUUAGAAACAAAUCAUGAAUUUUAAUUAGAAAAUGAAGAAGUAUAUUACAACUUUGUUGAAGUCUUGUAUAAUUUUGUAGUUGAUUUGUUAGCUUCGGUUUCUUGCUAAGGGACAUCUUCAAAAAUGGCUUAUAGUUGAGGUUAUUUGAAUUAAGGAGUAUGUUUCUUUCUAGAACAAUACCUAGUGCCCUAAAAAGCCACAUGGACGGUUGAAGUCAAAGUUGCAAGAUAUGCUAUUGCUGUCUCUUCUUACAAUUUGUAUUCUAUAUUUAUAAGUUAAGUGUAAUCUUUACUUUAUAAUUAUUUACUAUCUAUCUUUUUUCACUAGUACUUUUGUUCUCCGAUACCAAAUUUCAAAGGAAUUUUGUGAACUCUUAGAUGGGUGAGUACAAGAUUUAUAUUUAGGACUUGUUUGGUUUAAAAGUGUAAUUAUCUUACACUAUAUAAUUUGAUGGUUUCGUCGUAGCGUACUACCCUUCGCCCUUUCCACGUGGCACACUCUCAGAUACUUUCCGUCUCUCUCUUCCCUUCUACAGGUAGCCCUUUUCAAAUUCUCUUUCUUUUCCCUCGUCUAGCUGGCCCUCUUUUUCUCGCUCUUCUUCUCUCCUUUCUAUCUUAGCCUCCCCUCUCUCUCCCUAUCAUCCAUUCUCUCUCUCUUCACAAGGUGGUGGACUAGGCAGCAACAACAGCAGUAAUGGCUUGGGCGCAGCGUCAGCGGUGGCAACAGCAGCGAACACAAUAGUGACGGUGAUUUGGGCGGUAUCAACGGCGGUCACCUCACCUCGAUCUCACCUCGCCAUUGAGGGAUCUUAGCAUUUCGGCAUCAGUUGCGGUCGCCUCGCCUCGAUCUCAUCUCGCCAUUGAGGGAUCUUAGCGUUUCUUUUAAUUACUGUGAACAUCUCAUACUCCCCCCCAAAAAAAAUUAAAUUAAAAAAAUAAAAGAAAAAAUAACUUUUGCAGGAGAGGAGCAGGGAAACUCUUAUCUCUCUUUUUUUUUUCUUUUUUUUUUUACUCUUCUCCUUCUUCUCUUUUUUCUUCUUCUCUGUACCCUCAUUCCUUCUAUUUUUUAUUUUUUUUCUUACUUCUUUCUUCUUGCCUAGAUGUGUUGGUGUAGGCGCAAAAUUGGGAGAAUUGGGAUAGGUGAUAAGGACGGCGGUGGCAGCUUUGCCAGCAACAGCGGCGGACAGCGCGACGGUGGAGGUAAUGCCGGCGGCAUCAGCACUGGUCGCCUCGCCUCGAUCUCACCUCACGAUUAAGGAAUCUUAACAUUUGUUAGUUCUUAUUAUUAUGAACAUCUCAUAUACCCACAGAAAAGAGAAAAAAAUUUUUUUAAAAAAAACUGAAUAAAGAGAUGGCUUAUAUAGAUGGUAGUAAGAUAGAUCGUUACCUAGAUCUACACAUUUCUUUAUUUUUUUUUAAGAUGAAAAUAUAACAAAAUGAUGAAAUUAUCGAUGGAACAUAUGAUUGAACAUAUCAUGUGUUAUGUUAAAUUUGUUUUACAUUUUAAGAUGAAAAGAAAUGGUGAGAUUGUGUAUUGAACAGAUGAUCCAGCAUGUUAUAUGUGUAUUUUGAGUUAUUAUUAUUAUUAUUAUUAUUAUUAUUAUUAUUAUUUUGGGUAACGGGGGGAGCAGGGGAGGAGGAGAUAAUGACACAGAAUAUUUACUAACUGAAGCAUUCUAAAGAUCUCACCGUCGAAGCGAUAAAGCUCGACUCUCUCGCCUCCGAUCUCGAAAAAAAAGAGAGGCCUGAAGUAUAAUUUCACUGCUUGUUAUCUAUUUUUAUUUUUUUUUUGUUUUUGAUAUUAUGUUUUUCUUUUCUUAUUAUUUUUUUUCUCAACAGGGAAGUUUAAAAUGCCUCUUUUUAUAAUAAAAAGUAUUAUUAUCUAGGUGAACCUUUUAUUAUUUUUUUUUUCCUACUUUAAUUUUUUUUUCGCAACUUUUCUAGAGCAUAUGAUCCAUUUUUUACUUUAUUCAAUCUUAAUUUGACUUAACUAUAGUGUAAAAUUAAUCACGAAAGAAGAAAAAUACAAUAUCUAGGUGGGCAUGCGUUCUCCUUCUUAGCUUGGCAAAAAAAGAAAAAAACGCAAUAUUUAGGUAAACCUCUUUUUAUUUAUUUUCUUUUUACUAUAAAUUUCUUUGUUUUAUUUUUUUUUUCUACAAUUUUUCUUGGGACAUGUCAUUUAUUUCUACUUAACUCUAUUUCAUUAUAAUUUUACAUAACUUUGAUAUAACAUUAAUCGUAAUUUAUUUAAUCAUAGCAAAACACGAAUUCUAUACUAGUAACGGAUAAUGGAAUGUAAAUGAAUUAAAUGGUAAUUGGAUUGACCCACACUCUCGGACGUUUGGUUCAUUCUUGGAUUGAAAAUUAGAAUGGAUUAUUUCCAUUACACUAUUUGGUUUAUAUAAAUUAAAAAAUAAUAAAAUAACAUAUUUACUCUCAAAUAUAAAUCUAUAAAAAAUUAUUUUCUAUCUAAAUUUUAUAAAAAUUUCAAUUCUAUUCUCAAAUUAAAACCCUCGCAGAAAGGGAAAAAAAUCAAAUUUAUUUUGAAGUUUAUGUAACAAAAGAACAAAUCUUUAUUAAAAAAAUGCAUAAUUUUUUAAAUAUUAUUAUAAUAGAAAGUAAUAUAUUAUUGUUAAUAUAAAUAACAUAUAUUUUAUAAUGACUGAAAUUAAACUUCAACUAAGAAAUCUUAUAACGGUAAAAAUAUAGACAAGUUGCAAGAAAGAAAAGAAAAAAGAGAAAUAAAACGCCAAGUAUAUUAAUAAAUGUGAAAUAUUAAACACCAUUGAAGUAUGCAAAUUUAUAUAAAAAAUUCAUUAGUUUUAAGAUUUUGCAAAAAUAGGCCACCAUUUUGAAUUUUGCAAAAUCUAUCCGAAUUUUCAGAAAACUGACCAAAAUACCCCCCCCUUUUUUUUUUUUUCUCUCUCUCAAUUUUUUUUCUCUCGUUCUUUUUUUUUUAUUCUCUUUAAAGAGGGCAACAGAGGCGGAGGCGGAGGCGGCCCGCCUUGCUUCUGCCAUGCGUGCCUUUGCCUAGGCCCGCGCGCCCCCUAUCUUCCUUUCGUUCUACCCCGCCGAGGUUGCUCUUGCCGUUGUCCUUUGGGAUGCCUACCUUGCCUCUGCCCCACACGCCAUCUCCCGCGCCUGCACCCUUCUCGCCUUUGACCCUGUCGAGGCCACACUGUGACCCUCUUUUUUUUCUCUCCGACCCUUCUCCACAGCCUCUGCGGCCCUCUACGACGAUAAUGAGGAUGACACCGCAUCCUCUUCCUCUGCCUUUGCCCUUCAUUUUCACUGUAGCAGAUUUUUCACACAUCAAACCCACUUCUGGAAACAUAUAAAAUACUAUACCACAACAUGGAAGAAAAUAGAAAUCCAAAUCAAUUUAGAAAAGAAAUCAUUGUAUUAGAGUAAUAGCAUAGGAAGAGAUUAGGAAUUUGGGAUCCAAGGGGGCUAAAAAAAACAGAUAUCGAACCUUCACAGUGUAGCUAGUGUUUCUUGCAGAGUCUCCACAUGUUACAAUUACUCAUCGUGCUACCGUAUCGCAUAGCCGCGUUUUGCUGUUGGGUCUUGCUGCCGCGUCACGCUACCGCCCCUUGCAUUGUGCCACUUUGCAGCGUUGUCGCAGAACGUUCGCGGAGCCGUUAGGGUUAGAGGUGAGGGAUAGGAAUGCUUAGAGAUAAGAGUUUUAUUUUUAUUUUUUUAUAAUUAGAAAGUAGAUGGGGAGAUCGUGGGGUGGAGGUUGCGUGGGCUAGGAUUGACGGUCGCGUGUGCCAGGGAAGAGAUUGCGUGGGCUUCGAAAUGAAAUCCCAAUCUGGAUUUUGAGGCCGGAAUCAAGUUAGAAGUUGUUGGCCCACUCCUAUUCCAAACCGAAUCUGAUUCCAAUUUCUAUGAACCAAACAAAAUUAGUUGGAUUUGAUCAAAACGGUUCCAUUCCGAGUUCAUGUUUGGUUAGUUAUUGGAAUGAGAAUGAAAAUUACAAUUAGAUUACAUUAAAAUAAAAAAUAAAGUGACAAAUCAUCCAAAAAAUUGGUUUAUUAUUGGAACGAAAAUUGAAAUGGACAAUUAAAACAAUUGAACUUUGAAAGAAAGUCUCAGUUAAGGGAAAGGAGAGUGAUAGAAAGAUAGAAAGGGGAGGUGUUUGCGAGAGAGAGCUUUGGGUGGUUUACUCUGAAAUGAGCCAUUCAGGAUCUGAGAAAAAAUUGAGCCAUAAAUCGAUUGAUUCGAGAAUAGAAUGAGAUUGAAAUUCGAUUCUUAUAAAACAAAUAACAACUAGUGAAAUGAGUGAAUCUCAUUCUGAUUUUAGAGUCUAAAUUAAGUGAAUCAAAUAAACAACAACUAGGGCUUGUUUUAUUCAACUCAUUCUAGACUUUGAAAUUGGAAUUAGAUUCACAUAUUCCGAUAGUUAUUAUUUUCUUUUAGGAAUCAAAUUUUGAUUCUCAGUCCACUCUAGAAUAGCAAUGGCUUGAUCCAUUUAUGGCCAAAUCAAACUUUCAAUUUUGGACUUGACGUGAUAAGGGUGAAUAGGGAAGAAGUUAGGGAUCAAAAUGAAUGAGUUGGAAAAGGUUUGGGAUGAAUAGCCUAAUUAAUUCAAGGGCUUUCAAUAAGCCAAACACGAAGCUAGGACUAGCUUGUGUUCGGCUCGAUUCCUUAACGAGCUGAACAAAAGCUAGCUCAAAUAAUUUAUGAUCUGAUAUCAAGUUCGGCUUUUCGAACUCGUUACGAGUUUAAGCCGAACAUGAGCCAAUCUCCUCACCCAUUUUAAUAGAGGUGGGGUUGAUAUCGAGCUAAAAAUUUUAGAUCAUCUUCGACUCAUUUAUUGAGCGAGCGAUUUGAUCUCACGCCCAUUUUAAGUUGAACAUGAACUGGCUUGCGAACAAUGAGCUAGGUUGCCAACCCGGAUUAACACUAAAGAUUAAGAUCAAAUUGCGAAAAAUAAAAGAUUGGAGAUCAAAAUGGCAAACUGGGUAAAGAUUGGAGACCAAUUGUGCAAUUAACCUUUUGUUUAUGAGAUGCGUUAGCUCUACAACCCACUUUGCAUUGAAAUUUUAUAAUUCCUCUCAUCCAAAGGCCAUGUUUUUCUAGGGAUAAUUGCUUAUAUAUCCCUCAAAACUUCUGAAAUAUUUUAUUUAUUUUUAUUUUUAUGGUCUCAAAUAUACCUCUCGUAUAUUUCUCCAUUAUUCAUAAAUACUUCUGCUGUUAGUGUCUGUUAAGUCAUUUCGGAUUAAAAUCUGAGUUAAAUUUCAACUAUAAUUAAAAAAAAUAAAAAUAUCAAUUUUGCCCCUAAGUUUAAAGGCAAAUAAGAAAUGUCGGUAACAAUAGAAAGAUAUAUUUGAAAAGAUAAAAAAUCAAAACCUUAACUUGAAGGCAUAUGAGAAAAGUUAGUGAUAGUAGACAAGGAUAUUUGGAAGAAAAAAUAGUAAUUUUACAAAAAUGAUAGUUGUUUCUAAUAAUAAUUUAGAAAUUAUAUCGACUAGUUUAUAAUUUUAUUUUUAUUUCACUGAAAACCACCGUCAGAAAAGAUGAUAGUGUGAUAAUUUUUGAAAGUUACAUGACAGUAAAAUACAAAGUAAAAGAUGAUAAAGUGUUAUAUUGUAAUGCCUUAAAAUUUGCAAAACUAUCAUUUUAUUGUCCUAUUUGAUGAUAAAUUUUUAAAAAUAAAAAUAAAAAUAAAACUAUAGGAAAGUUAAUUAUUAUAGUUUUUUAAAGGCUAGAUUAUAGAAAAUCUCCCUGUCAAAAUUCGAUUUUUCACUUUCCCCCCUGUCAUUUAAAAACCUACACUUUCGCCCCUUGUGAAAUAAAAAAUGUUCAUUUCGCCCCUUGCCGUUAGUAAUCCGUUAGGAUUCCGUUUAUAAAAUAUUAUUAUAUAUAUUUUUAUGCCAAAAAUACCCUCAGCCUUCUCUCCUGUGAACAUGAUGAGGGGCAAAAUGAUGAGGGGCAAAAUGGUCAUUUUAUAAUUACAGCUCACAUUGUACCCUCCCUGUGAAUAUUUUUUAUUUUACAAGGGACAAAAGUAUAGGUGUUUAAAUGACAGGGGGAAAAGUGAAAAAUCAGAUUUUGAUAGAGGGUUUUAUGUAAUUUAGUAUUUUUUUUUAACUACAUAGUCGCAAAAUAAAAAUGCUCUAAACCACGGGUCCACGUGAAUGACGUGGAGGACCAGUUCCACGGAAUAUUCGUCAGGCCUAGCCCGUUCCUCUCCUUCCACGUCCGCCCUAUUUAUCUCCCUCCGCGCGAUCCCAUUCCUACUUUGCCUCUCCGAACCCCCUCUCUCUCUCUUCCCGACCUCGUCCUGUCCCUCUUCGCUCCGAAACCCUAGAAGCGAAGAGAUCCUAAAUCGCCUUUAAUCUCCUCCCCCUCCCUCGUUUCCGAUCAAAUUCCCCUUCGCCGAUCGCAGAGGCGUCCCCGUAGAGCUUCCUCUUCCUCAUCCUCGAUUUCUCGCCAUGAAUCCGGAGUAGUAAGUUCCCCGAAUCAUUGCGAUCAACUUUGUUUCUUCUAAUUGGUAGCGUAAGAUUGUAGGAUUUCUAUGUUUGGAUUGAGAGAUUGUCAGGUAUUUGGAUUUUGGAUUGAAUUAGUUAGGGUCGGUAUUGAGAUCUCGCCGGAUCUGGUCAUGUGGAGAUUGGAGAUUUGCGUGUUGUUUCUCUUUUGAAGGGUAUUUUGUGAGUUUCUUAUUGUUUGUUUGAGGAGAGGGAUUAGAUUGUGAUUUUGACAUAGAUAUGUGGAUCAGACCGGGUCGUUUGGGCUUUAGAUCUGGUUAUACGCUUGUGACUUUGCUUGAUUGUGCGUAUGACAUUUCGCUUGUGUUUGUUGACGUUAUCGUGAGAUUUGCUUGUUUGAAAUGGUUAAUUGCAAGAAGAUCUGCUAUUUUAGAAGGAAAGGAAUAGGGAAAUUGUUAGGUACAAAUAGUAUUGUACCUUGUUGUUUGGAUGAGAUGACAUCUUUUGUACGUUCCAUACGGUGGGCACGUAUUUAUCACAUAUGGAUGUCUUGCUGGAGAAACUUUCCCGGAUGCAUAUUCAAAGGCUGCAUGAUCUAUUACCUUUCUUGAUACAAACUUCAACAUUCUUUUCUCCCUCUCUUUUUCGGCCCUCAAGUUCUCGUCCCUCAGUGAUAAUUCCUGCCAAAUAGGCUCAACUGAGAGGAUUAAGUUGCCAGCUUCCUACAAAAUUCUCUUGCAUCUUACUCUGCCGUUAUCACUUACCGGUUAGAGAAUUUUUUACUCUUCUAUCACUGGAGUUUAGGAAGUUGUUAUGCUGCAAGUGUCUCUAUUGGUUUUUGAUUUGAUUAAAUACCUACUUUAUAAAAUUCUUGGGGUAACUUCAAAAUUCCCCUAUAGUUUACCCCAUUUGCAGUUCACUGUCCUAUUUCUCAAAGUGUAGAUCAGUUUCUCCUUGAGGAGUCGAGGACGUGCUAUUCUGCCUCUCAAUUUAUUUCUGUUUUGGUUUUUUAUAAGCGCCUAUCAUUAUUAAAGGUAUCAAAGUACUACACUUUAUAAAUCAUCAGAUGAUAAAUUUACCACUUUAUCAGCCUGUGUUUUGCACUUUGUCACCCUGUGUUAUACUAAAUGUGGCACUUUGCUACCCCUUAUAAAAUUAGGUACAUAUAUAGAACUGAAAAAAAAAAAUCAUCGGGUGCAAAGUGCUACACUUUGAGAAUAAUGUGCGCAAUGGGCUUUCUGAAGUUUUCCCUAUAUUCUUGGUCACAAAGCUGAAACACACAGUACUUUCAAGUGUUUAUACUCUUUCCUUAUUGAUUCUGUUGAAUUCUUUAGCUUCUAGACAUUUCUCCUUAUUAAAUCGUAUACUGAAGCUGCAUAAUAACAACUGGAUUUUUAACCUAGGUUUUAUCAAGGCUAUUGAUUUGACUGGAUAUAAUGAGUAAUCUAUAUCAAUUAGUGGGCUGACGUAUCUAUUUAGCCUCAUUUUUUUUUCUUAUCUUGCAUUGCUUGGAUGUACUUUUCUUUUAAACCGUAAAUAUCUUAUGGGAAGUUCUUUGGAAGGUUAAGAGAUAUAAUGUUCAGUUGCCCGGAGAUUAGGAGAUAUUGUUAUUAUUAUUUAUGGUCAGAUGGACCAUCGAUCUAGAAAUAUCUUUAGCUGAUUGUCCAGAACAGUUGUUAAUUUUCUUGGUAAAUUAAACUUGUCGACACAUUGUAGUUUGUUGAUCAAGAAAAUGUAUACUAUUGUUUUUGUUAGUUGAGAGAAAUUAAUUGCAUGUUUUCCUUCAUAUCUCAGUGACUAUCUCUUCAAGCUUCUGCUCAUCGGUGAUUCUGGUGUUGGCAAGUCAUGCCUCCUCCUAAGAUUUGCGGUAAGAAUUGAGUGAAUAAUUUUCUCCUUUUCAUCAUUUAAAUUAGUCCUCUUCUUUGGAAGUUGGUGUCCUUGCAUGUUGUAUUUGGCUAUAUUGAUAUGCAACAGAAACUUCCUGGAUUGGAUAUGCUUUACGAGCGUGAAAAAGAAAAAUAUUAGUGUAUUAUUAGCCUAGUUAAACCUUGUGUCUUUAUUUCUCUUUGCAUUCAUAAGAAGUUAAGAAUCUUCCUUUCUUGCUUUUUGUUUAUGGAGCCCGUGAUUGUCGUUUGUUGGUGUGUUUUCUAGCGACUAACCCUAUAGUAUCUUUUUAAUUGUAAGAGUUGGCAUUCAAAAUUUUUAUUUAUAAAACUAGGCCUACACGUUGAAUGAUUUAUCAUUUUUAGAAAGCAGUGAUAAAAAGCGGUAAAUAAUUCACCGCUUUCACCAAAUUUUUAUAUUUUCUACGUUCGAACUUCGAAGGAUGUAUAGUAUGGAAUGCUAAAAAUAAUUUUACCGUUUUAGAAAGCAAUUACCGCUUUUUAAAAGCUGUAAAUCAUUCACCGCAUAAGCCUAGGUUUGUAAAUAAUUUUUGUAAAAGACUUUUUAUAAUUAUAAUAUUUUUAGGCAUGUUAAUAAAAAAAUUAUUUGUCAGUGCCAUUUACUUGCAUAAUAAAGCAAAUAGCAGAAUAUUUAAUUGUACGGCCUUUUAUAAUGUCCCAUGCAUUUUUAACGAAGCUGUGUUGCAUCUGCUGACCAUGAUGUAAAUUUGCACAAAGCCACAUGGCUAUUUUUGGAGCUUCCAUGCAUACAUUUUGUUCAGUGACUCUUAACAAAAUCCAUAGUUCUUUGAACAAAGUUCACGGCAAUUAUUAAAAUUGCUGUUAUAUAUGCUAUUGAAAGCCCUAUCUAUAAGGUCUAGUGCACUUGCCGUAGACUUAGUUAAACCAAGUGAAUUUUCCUUGCAAGAUUUCAUGCAUGACAACUUUUUGGCUUUUCGUGAUUAGGAUGACUCAUACUUGGAGAGCUAUAUCAGCACCAUUGGAGUUGACUUUGUAAGUGCAAACUGUGCUAAAACCAUUUUGUAAAGGCUGCUUCUUUUCUCUUUUCAUGCAACAUGAUUUUACCAUUCUCUUUUGGCAGAAAAUACGAACGGUUGAGCAGGAUGGGAAGACCAUUAAGCUUCAAAUUGUAAGUUCAUUUUAUUUAACUUGGGAGAUUGGAUAUUUUUCAUCAUAAUAGUUUUGUUUCUCUCAUAGCCAGUUCCCUUUUAUUUCUAAGACAUGUGAAUAGCAAUUGUUUCUUGUGAUGUUUUCAUGGGGCUGUAUCAAGCAAUCUUAUAUUUAUGAACUCUUGUUUUUCUAUUUGCUGUUGGCCACAGUGGGAUACUGCUGGCCAAGAACGAUUCCGGACGAUCACCAGCAGUUACUACAGAGGCGCUCAUGGUAUCAUUGUAAGUUUAUAUGCGCGAGUCUUUGCUAUUCUUUUAUUUGUCAAGGCCUCUGCUGUCCUGCAUUAUAUUUAUUCUAAAAAUCAUCUCUUUGCACAUAGCCCAUGUAAAAUCUAAAUUUUUAAGCAUGUUUAAUGAAAGUCUAUUUCCUCAAGCCCUAUUUUUUUCAGUCGAGAGGUACACUUUUUAAGAGCAAGGAAUAUAUAUCUAAGAAAUCAAGUUUUGAAGAGAAAUACAAGUAUUCAGAUUUUUUCAUGGGUGUAUGUGUAAUUAUCUCUUUUUAAUCAUAUGCUGUUGAUCAAAAUCCCACGAAACAUUCAUGGUACUGGUCCUGGAAUUCCAGGUUGUGUAUGAUGUGACAGACCAAGAGAGUUUCAAUAAUGUAAAGCAAUGGUUAAAUGAGAUCGACCGUUAUGCAAGUGAGAAUGUCAACAAGCUUCUUGUGGGUAACAAGUGUGAUCUUACAGCAAACAAAGUUGUGUCUUAUGAGACGGCUAAGGUAAUUUCAAUUUCUUCCCUCAUCCUUUUUCUGCUCUACACAUCGUUAACAUCAAAAAGGUCAAGAAUCCAUGUUAUAAGUUACUAAUGUAGAUAUAAUGAGACUUGGGUAUUUCAGUUAAAAAAGUGAUACCACCUCCAACUGCAAAAAUGAAAAAAAAACUUGAUUAGAAAUCCAUUUUAUCUGCCUACAAUUAGAGUUCCGUAGUUUUUAAAUUCCCCUCUUGAAAGGUCUUAUUGAAAUAUCUUGACUUAUCAAAAUCUACUCUUAAUCAGCUAAUCGCUUUUCAUUCGUAUAUUUAACAGUUAAUGUCAAUGCUGGCCUGUUCAAUUCUCAAUUUUCUGCUAGUUUUAAUUAGAUUUUGGUAGAAAGCGAUGCAAAAAGAUUUUUUAUUAUGGCUAACAACCGCUUGCAUGAGAUAUAUGCUGUUUAGGGUGUCUCUACUUCUCUUUUCUUUGUUAGGAGGAUUAAUUUUGAUGUUUUUUUUAAUUAUUUUGUCCCCUUCAGGCAUUUGCUGAUGAAAUUGGCAUUCCAUUCAUGGAGACUAGUGCAAAAAAUGCCACUAAUGUUGAACAGGCCUUCAUGGCCAUGACAGCUGCUAUCAAGAAUAGGUGCGCCAGCUAAGCAAGUUUUAUUUUGUAGAAAUUAUUCCUAUGUUUAGCUGCACUAUUAAGUUACUAGCUAAAAUACCUGAUUUGUGUAAUAAUUAUUAGGGUAAAUUGAAUUACCUGUUCCUGAACUUUUGAGUUAACUUUCAUUUUGGUCCUCAAAACUUUUGAUUUCAACUUUCAAGGCCCUAAACUGUUGGUGAAGUUUCAAUUUAGUCCCUAAACUCUGAACAAUGUUUCAUUUGUCCUUAGAGUAAUUAUCGCUAGCACUUAGUUCAUCUAUUUGUUUGUUCACCAUGAAUUCAUUGGUUUUUCAUCCAUUCAUACUUUCAUUCCAGAGGUCCAAUUCUUAUAUAGAGAAAAAUUAUAAAUCAGUGGAUGGUAGGGUUGAAAUAUGUGAUGGAAAAAGUAGUUAAUAAAUGUAUGGUGCAUAGAUGUACAAAUGCACUGGGUGUAGGCAACAAUUUAUCCUCCAAUAGUAAAUAUGUGUGAGGUUUAAAGUGAAAUUCUUUGAAGAGUUUAGGGACCCCUAACGUCGAAAUUGAAAGUGCAAGGACAAAAUGAAACUUGGCUGAAUGUUCGGGGAUUAGUGGUGCACUUUACCCAUAAUUGUUACACAAAGAUGUAUUCUUGAACUAUAGAUUGUUAAUCUUGGGGUGUGAAUUGCCCAGCUAACUCAUUGUUAGAUUUGAGAAAAUCCUCGAAGACAUUCAGAAUUUAACACUUCCCUUUGAAGUAGUUUCAGAUUAUUUGGUUAGGUCAUGGAAUAUUUUAUUAAGUUUCCGAAAGUUCUGUCUAGAAUGGUGCAGAGUCCUUUAGUUCUAUGGAGUUAUUCUGGUUUCAAGGAAUACGCUAGUUGAGGGGUUCAAAUUGAAGAAAUGAGUAGUUCAGGGACCCACUUCCAACUGACCUAUAUUUGGAGAUGAAUCCACAUGUAGUAUUCCAGCAUUUGGACUUUUCAUAGUCCUUGAAUUAAAAUAAAUUUGUACAUAGUCAUUUCAUAAGCUGACCUUUUGACCCUGUUUAAAGUAAAACUAAAAUAAGUUAGUCGUCAUUAUAUAGGUAAUGGGAUAAUAUAGUGUCUAUGAGGGGAAAGAAGAAAAAAUUAGAUUUUCAUGCGGUCAGGACUUGAGUGUGAUAUAUGUUGAAGUUCAGGGUACAAAUUGCUAUAUCGGGAUACUAGAGGAGCAAUCCAUACAUUGUACCCCUUGUUUUUUGCCGAAUCAAUAUGCUAAUAAUUUGUUCCACUAUUAACUCUCCAAAACUACCUGAUGCUAAUUUCAGGAUGGCGAGCCAACCGGCCAUGGGUAAUGCUAGGCCGCCUACAGUGCAAAUCCGCGGCCAACCCGUCAACCAGAAGACCUCCUGCUGCUCUACUUGAAGCUUCUCUAUGCUCACACUGGCGUGUAAACACAUCUUCCGCUUCCAUGUUCAGUCUCUGUUUUAUUUUCUUCUUAGAUACUGCUCUUGUUUCUCUUAUUCUUUUAUUAGUAUUUGCUGUUUAGUUCUUAAAGGAACAGGGAUUUCUGAAGUAGUAAUGUGUUCCUCUGAAACUGUGCUGCUCGUUUGUUCGUAUUUGCAUUCUUUAAUUAGACAGUUUCUUCUGCAGGAAGUUCUAUCUUACCUUCUAAUGAGUUGCAUCGCAAUCUUCGGUCCCUACCAUUAAGUUUCAACUUUCAACCUAUUCCUAAAUCUUUCGAGCAUAAGCAUUUGAUACUCGCAUUUGUGUGGCUACAGCAUGUCACAUUGCCAUUGGUAGCUUUAAGCUGUGCUGGCAUUUUCAUUAGUUGGUAGAACAGGUGUUGGGCGAGAUGACUAUCAUGAUAGAAUUGGAUAUUUGGAUUGUAUUAGUAGAUAUAUGCUUAAACAGGAGGACUACAUUAUUAGACUUUAAAGAAUUCGAGGACUUAUGGUUCAAUUUGCGAAAAAACCUCUUUAACUAAGGAUCAAGCAAAUGUAGUAUCUGUAAUCGGAAGUUUGAAGCUCGAAGUUGACUCAAGUAUCAUGUCAAAUUUGCAAAACAGGGCUACCAUCUACAAAAAGUAAUGCUAAAGCUUACAAACAUCAUACAUAUUUUUACAAAUAUUACAAAUACAUAGUUCUGAACGGUUGGAUUUAUUACUUCGGUUUUGUGAUUCGUGAACAUCUAUCAUUGAACUAUAGCCACCUUAGCAUGUUUGUAUUUGUUUGCUAGUGUUUAUUACCAUGGUAGAGUACUAAUCUACAAAUUUUGGCUGAGCUGCAUUUACCCUGAGCUUUUUCUAAUAAGCAAAGCAAAUGAUCUUUGAGUUGUUUAUCAUUGUGCCCGUGUUUAACUAAAUUGCUUGAUCAAGUACUACUCUUUGGGCCCUGAAGAUUCGUGCAUUCAAGAGAUGUUUUAGUUUGUAACUUACAUGAUGCUUGUGUUAGUGUACGCUCAUGUGGUGGUUUAGCUUGUAACUCAUGAACUGGUGUUGGUAUAAUAUUAUAAAACUCAUGAACUGGUGCACCACGAUGACGGAUCGUUCUGAGACCAUGAAAUGGCUGAAAUGUGAAAGGUGCUUUUUAUAGAUGCCUGUAGGUCUCACGCGCACAGCGAAAGCUGUGUUUAUUAAAAAGCUGCAUGCGUGUCUCGAAACAGACUAGAAUGUGAUGACCCUUGGACAAUAAUAUAUUAUAUUCAUAACAGUUUUGCAUUAUAUAACUUGAAAAUUGAGGGAUGUUCUUUUGCUCGAAAGUGGCUGUUGCCAGAAGUUUUUCAUUUCCCGCCGUUUGUGUUACUUAAAAAGAGAAAGAUUAAAUUUUAUUUUGCGCCCUUGUGAUCUCGCUUAAUUUUAUUUUGCCAUGAAGUGGUUCAAAAGUUGCACUUGAAUAUUUUGUAGUAUAACUCAUUUUUGUUUUGUCAUUCGGUGAUUCAAUAUAUUUAACUCUAUUGUGGUUAUUAAAAAGUUUUUAUUUUGCUAUUCUAUUAGACAGUAGAUUUUUUUAGAUAAAAGUAGAGAUAAAAUUGCAGAGCAGCAGUUAACGGCAAUUUUUUUUAACCGCGAAGCGGUGAAGUAAAAAUAAAUUGAACCGUCAGGGGCAGAAUUGAAGUUUAUCUAAAAAAUAAUAAUAAUAAGAUAAGCAUUAGCGAGGAUGCUACAUUAUUCAUGUGUAAUAGAAAAUUGGACAACUUCCACGUUUGAACCAUGUUUUGGUUUUGGUUGGUUCCCUCUCUCGAUCAAACCUUCCUCAAUUAUUACAAUUGAGUCGUUGACGUCUCGAUGGGGCAACGAUUUUGACUUUUUCUUAUAUAUAUAUAUAUAUAUAUAUAUAUAUAUAUAUAUUUACAUUUACUUAGCAGCCAAUUCCCCCAAGUUUCUAUAUGGUUUGUACUUGGAUAUCUUAACUAGUAGACCACGAGUGGUUUUCAUACAUAUAGAUAAUAUAUCCACCAUGGAGUAGUGCCAACCCAAUCGCCAUUGAAGUAAACAAUCGAAACACAAAUGAGGAAAGCACCCGUUUAGUUCGUGAUUUGUAAUAUGUAAGAUAAUUUUUUUUUUUAUGCUUUUUAUUGAAGAUAUUCAAUUAUUAUCAUUCAACUCAAAUACAAUAGUGAUAAAUGGUAUUAAUUUUGAGGCGGUAAAAAUACUAGAUUAUCCUGAUAUAAGAAAUAUUCUUAUUUUUAUACUUGAUAGAAAUUAUUAGUAAUACAUUAAUAAAAAAUAUUAAAUUUUUCUACAAUCUUUCAAUCCAAAUGACUUGAUAAAUUAGUAAUAAACUCGGCAUUCCAAAAAUAAAAUAUAUAAUUAUUUAUUUCUGAAAUGUUACAACUCUUCUUCAACCAAAAAAGUCGGGUUACAUGGUACUACUUGUGUGGUUCUUACAUGGACACAUCCCCCCUCUUUUAUUUCACGAGGAGAGUAGAAAAAGGUUGGGGACCAAAUUUUUACAAUUAAUUGGGGGGCCGAACUAGAACCUACGAUUAGAAAAAAGGUGGGGCAAUUUUACAUUUAAUUGGGGGGGGGGGGGGGGGGGGGGGGGGGGCCGAUUUUAGAAGGCUGGGGAUGUACCUGUGCAAUUUCUCAUAGCAAUAAUCGCUCACAUAACAUAACAUUACCUUUUUUCUUCAUAAAUCUUGUGUUUUUUUUUGCCUCAUUCAAGGUUAAAAAGGCAAUAGCAGCCCCCAAAUGUACAACUCAAUAUGAAACUCCUGCUUUUGCUCCACAGAGAAGCCAAAAAAAAAAAAAAAAAAAAAAAAAAAAACUGUUUAUGCAUUUUGAACAGUUUUUUUUUUUUUUUGGAACAAUAUAUCUAUUAGAUAACUCCAACGGGUACCAACCAAACAAGCCGUUUUUAAGUUCAAAAGAUCUCCUCCCCUUCUGAGCGCAAAAAUUAUUUCUGUAUUUUACAAAAUUUUCAAAUUCAACUUAUCGUCAUGUAGUUAUUUUAGGUUUCUGAAUAUGUUGGCUAUCCAGUUUGUAAGUUUUCGCUGCUCUCUAAUUUCAAGACAACUAUUUCUACCAACUCCCAUCAAUCGCAGUAAAAGCUUUCUUUCGCAUUCACCCACAUCAAUUUUUGUUUUUGUUUUUCUUAGAGAAAUAAAUGGAUCUCUUGGCAGAUUCUAUUGCAAGCACAGACAAGUGAACAACCUCUCCUCAUCCACACAUGUAGCUUUCCUUCAAAAGUUGGAAAAAUGUAGUUGGCCCCUCCCCACACCUCAUCCUCCACCUCCACCACAACCCCCCAGGAAGAAAAUCUCAAGCUGGGGCCACCACCCACAUCACAAUACAAGACAAAUCAUUCAAAGACAUCAAGAGCCCACAACCACAUAGGCCUCUUCUCCCCACUGUUUCUUCAGAUGGGAACAACAAGCAAACCCUAUUUAUGGACAUAGAGGCCCCCUCCCCUCCAUCCUCUUCUCUCCUCCAUUUCCUCCACACAUUCCACUAGGAAUAAGGACAUAUUUCAGGCACAGCAGUUACUGCUUUUACCAAAAUUAGUGACACAUACAUAUACAUACACACAUAUAGAUUGGAUGAAGCUCUUGUAUUCUCAACUGAAACAUUACCCAUAAAGUAGUGGUACAUAUGACUUGUCUCAUAGCAAGAAGCAGCACUGGAUAUAAAUGGGUGAAUUUAGAUCACACUUAUAGACAGUUUGGCCAGGUUGUGUGGCUGCGGCGGCGCGAUGGUGAGCUCCAAAUCACUUCCCUCACUUGAUAGAGACUCUGAAGAGGAAUUAUUUGGGUAAUGUGUGUGAUCUAAGGAUAAUUUGAGGAGAUCAGGAGAUGAGCUGGCCUCGAACAUUGUGAUCGUCCGAUCCAAAAAUUUGCCGACUCGAGGGGACUUCUUCGGUAUGGCUUGAUCUUUCGUGCCAGCAGACAAGUCCAACUGUGAUAGAAUAUCUUAAUUUUGUCGGCUAUUGCGAGGAAGGAAGCAGAAAAAAAAAAAAAAAAAAACAAGUAAAAUAUGCGCAUACGCAUUAGGUCAAGGACAACAAUAGUGUAUUUACCGUGAGCUUCGUCAUUAGAGGCGAGAUUGUGGAGGUUUCUAGACUUGGAGAUGCAAUCUGGGUCGAUGCGACGAGAGUUGAUCCCACGAUCUGCAGAUUAGUCGAGAAAAUUUGUGCAGAGUUAGUUUGUUCGUAUUGCAGAAAAGUUUUGAGAUUAUAUGAAACUUAUGCGGGAGGAAUACCGAGUUCUGUUCCAGGUCAAGAUGGCUGAUCUCUUCCUUCGGAGAAAUUGGUGGAGUUUCAGAGUUGACAGACUGAGGAAACAGAGAAUAAGUAUGAAAAAUCGAACUAACCGUAGAAUUACUUGGAGAAAAAAACAAAAGAGCAAUGGCAAAGUAAGUCCUUGAAACUUGGCACCGAUUUCAGCUACGUCCUUAAGAGUUCCAAUCUUAACAACUAAGUUUACGAUUGGUACACCCAUUAGUUUACUAUUUGGAAGAAAGACAAUCCGCCAGCAUCAUCGUUAUCGAUGUGGAAUGGUACGGUAAGCUACACUAGCAGCAAAACCUGAUUACUAAAUGAAUUGUUAAAAUCGGAUUUAGGACAGAUUUCAACUUGAAAUAUCAAUUCAGAGGAAAAAGUAAAAUCCAACAACGCUAAAGUGCAAAGAUCCAUUCAAAUAACGGAUGAUGUUGAUUACUUGAUCGUGAAUCACGACAUCGAAGAGGCUAGACCGGCGAUUCUUCUUGCUAGGGUUGUUUUGCCUGAGGAAGUACUUCUGGGCGUGGCUGGCCACCUGCGUCGGAGUUCGUGUGGUCACGAAGUUCCUCGAGAUCCCUCUCCAGUCGCCCUUGCCCAGCUUCUCCAGCCCGGCCAAGAAUGUUCUAUGUUCUUCCUCUGUCCAUGGAACCCCUACGGAAAAGAUACAUCUUGAUUCUCUAGACCCCCUUUGGAGAAACUUAUAUAUGCUUCAAACUAAUCAUUGAUGAAAACAUGUUUAACAGAUGCAGCAAAUUAGCUUCGGAGUUCAAAGAGUCCAAUAACAUGCAGGGAAUAUAUAACAUGAUAUUUAGGACGAAUAUAUAAUCGAACAAGUUUCACAAAGCAAAUGUGCUACUUUAAGAAAGAAAAAAGGAACAUUUUCCGAAAUGAAAAAGGAUAUGAAGGACCAUGCACAAGCAUAUUUUUACCAGUUAUGAACAUUUCAAAAUGGACAGGAGAGCCAAAUCACCACUUCAAGUACACCUGAACUUGUGCAAACAUUUUGGUGUCAUGUGAUGGAUAAAACGCAUGAAUAAUGUUAAAUUUCCAGAGCAUAUUUCCCUGAUUCAAUUACCACUUUGCGUAAUAUCAGAUGCUGUGACAUGAAUGAACAGAGUUUCUACAAUAAAAUUAGAAUUUACACUAUUAAUUGCUCAAAAAAAGGUUUGCAGAUAAAAAAAGGAAGCAAUAGAAAAAAAAAAAAAAAAGAAAAGAAGAGGAAAUAAGCCAUCUGAAUUCAGGGAGUGCUUGGUUCCGCAGAAAAUAUCCCAGAAAACAACUUUCUGACUGAAAAAGUAUUUUCCAUUCGUUCGGUCCCUAGAAAAAGUAGUUUUUCUUUUUUCGAGAAAAUGAAAUUUGUGUAAAAGUGUUUUUCAUAGAAAACUUUUUAUCCGGAAAAUAGUUUUUCGGGACACUUUGAGGAAUCAAAUGCCACAUCAGAGUUACAAUCUUGACAUUACUUAGAAACGGAUUUCUUAUCGUUGCCGACGGAAUUUUCCUGCAUUAAAUCCUCCCGUCGCCAGUUCGGCAUUCAGAGAAAUCAGAUAAUUGAGAAAAGAAAAUUCUGAGCAGUUGAUUGUGUUGUAAGAAAAAUACAUAGCCGUUGUGUCUUUCAUCAAUUUUUAGACGUAACAAAAAGUUAUAAACACAAUAAAUAAUUCAUAAAAAAAAAUACUUAAAUUAGUCAAUUGAUUAUAUGCUAUAAUUUUGUACAUGACAUUGAGAAUGAAUGUAAAAAAGGAAAAGAAAAAAGAAAAAAAAAAAGGGUCUUAAUAAUUGAUUUCACCUCUCUUCCUCUCGUGGCUCCGCCGCCUCCGCCUCUGCCGCAGCGGCGAGGCGUCGACGAUGCCGCAGUCGGAGUGGUAGCCGAGAUGAUCAAGGCCGUCGGCGGCGUGAUCGACGGCGGGGGCUGCGGCGCCGGCUGCGGCGCCGGCGCCGGCGCCGGCGCAGGACGCGAGAUUCCCCAUGCUCGCGCUCUUCCGCAUCACCUCGUCCUCGUCCUCCUCCCCUCCCCCUCCCCCUCCCUCGCCCCAUAUCCUCACCCCGAAGAGCUUCACCUCCGCCAUGGCCGUGCCCGAGGCCGAGCGCGAAUCUUGAUGAAUCCNUCUUCUCUUAAUAUGAUGAUUUUUUUUUUAUUUUUAAAUAUAUAUAUAUAUUAUUAUAUAUUUUUGGAGUCGUUGAUUGGUUUAGCAAUAAGAGAGAGAGCGAACGGAUUGGACGAAGAGGUCUACGGGUGGUAAAACAUAUAUAUAAUGGAUCGAUUGCUCAUACAAACAAACGCCCCUGGAAUUAGGGUUUAUUUACGAUGAAUGCCAUUACAGUUGAGUUGAGGAACUGCUUGCGUAAGCAUGACGUAAGGAGACGGCUAAUUUUGCUCCCCUGUGCGAGAACAAGCGUCCCCGCGACACACUACUCUAUAUUUUCAUCCGCCUUUUAAUUAAAAUAAAAUAAAAAUUAUUAUUAUUAUUAUUAUUAUUAUUAUUAUUAGGCUAAUUUGCAUAAAAAAUCAACUAGUAUUGAACUUUUGCAAAAGUAGACCAUCUUUUUUUGUUUUUACAAAUUCGAUUCGAUUUUUCAACAAACUGAUCAAAAUAUCUUUAUAUAUUUUUCUCUCGUUCUUUUUUUUCUUUCUCUUUUCAGAGAGCGGCGGAGACCGAGACGGCCCGCUUCGAUUUUGUCCGGCGCAUUCUUACCCUUGCUCGCGCUCUUCCGCAUCACCUCGUCCCCUACACUACUCUAUAUUUUCAUCCGCCUCUUUCUUAAAAUAAAAUAAAAAAUAUUUAUUAUUAUUAUUAUUAUUAUUAUUAUUAUUAUUACAUUAAUCUCCUACUGAAUAUUUGGUUUUGGCAUCCAAAAAUACAAAAAAAAAGGAGACGUUUGAUCUUAUUGCUCAUUUUUAUUUAAAAUAUUUUUUUCAUAUAUUUUAAUCCGUGAAUAUUUUUUUUUCUUUUUUUUUCCCUAAGAUACGUUCUAGUGAAUUGAUAAAUAAUAUUUCAUUUAAGACAACUAUACAAGCCAAAAAAAAAUUUAAAUUUUUUUUUAUUGCCAAAUAAAUAUCUUGGAUGUAAAGAUGGCGAGCAAUUUAAUUACCAUUCAUUUCUACACUAUUUUAUAUAAAAAAUCUAUUUAAAAAAUAAAAAUUGAUAAUAAUACCAAACGAAACCUUAGCUCAAAACUCUUUUGCGCAUCUAAUUAAUAAUAAAAUGUAUUUUGAUCGCUCAAUUGGCUAUCAGAUGAAUGUCGAGAUGUUCUUAGAAUAUUUUAUCUAUGAAGCUCUAUCCAAGGAUCGAGCUCUAGAAAUAAGGUGCGGAAAAUCAACAACUAUUUAUUAAGAAAAAACUUAAAAUAUCGUUCCUAUAGUUUCAUACUUUUUUAUUUUAAUAUCCUGCGAUUUAAGGCGUAUCAAUUUAGUACCCGUGAUUUUAUUUUUCUCUUUUCAUUAUUUCUUUUACUAAUUUUUUUUGGUUAAAUCAGUGACAAAGUUAAAAAACUAAAAGGUACUAAAUUGAAUACUCGAUAAAUCUAUGUGGGGUAUUUGAAGUUUUUUCUAUAUGAUUUAACGAAAUUUUAACGAAGAGGCUGAUGAAAGGAGAAAAAUGAAACCACACGAUACUAAAUUGAUACACUUUAAAUCACACGGUACUAAAGUGAGAAAGUGUGAAACCACAUGGGUGAUAUUUAAAAUUUAACAAUAAAAAAGGAUAAAUUUCAAAUACCCCCUUGUGGUUUCACAUUUUCUCCCUUUAGUAUCUUAUGGUUUAAAGUGUAUAAAGUUAACUCCUGUGGUUUCGCACUUUCUCACUUUAGUACUCUAUGGUUUAAAAUGUAUCAAGUUAGCAUUCUGUGGUUUCAUUUUUCUCUUUUUAUUAUUCAUUUCACUAAUUUUUUUCGUUAAAUCAGUCACAAAGUUAAAAUUAAAAGGUACUAAAGUAAAUAUUCGAUAAACCUAGAUAAGGUAUCUGAAGUUUUUUGUAUAUAAUUUAACGAAGUAUUAACGGAGGAAAAAAAAUCAAUGACAAAAUUAAAACUAAAGGAUACUAAGGUAAAUAUUCAAUUAACCUAGAUAGGAUAUCUGAAGUUUUUUGUAUAUAAUUUAACGAAAUAUUAAUAGAGGAGUUGACGAAAGUGAAAAAUGAAAUCACAUGAUACUAAAUUGAUGCACUUUAAACCACAGAAUACUAAAGUGAGAAAGUGCGAAACCACAACAUACUAAAUUGAUAUACUUUAAACCGCAGAAUACUAACGUAAAAAAGUGCAAAAUCAUAGGAGUGGUAUUUAAAGUUUUUCAUAAAAAAUAAAUAAACAGGUGGUAAGAUCACCGACGUAGUGACCACAUCACUAUUUCUCGGCAAAAUUAUCCCUCCCACAAGCAACAACCGAAGAUCCUGAUCCCGUCCGUACGGACAUUAGUUUCCGGGGCCACUGCAACCCCUCGCUCUAAAAUUUUCUUACAAAUUAACCCUCAAAAUAGGGGUUAAAUUUCGAGAAUGCCAUCGAACUUUUAUAUAUUGUAACCCAAUUGUUUGGUAGCUAGAGCGAGUGACAUCAUUGGGAGUUUACAUGUGGUUGAUGUGUUUUAGGAGGAAUUCUAUACUAUCACACUUGCACCGCGUUAUUAAUAAUAAAUCAAUUACAUUUUUUUAAAAAAAUAAAAGUACAAUAAAAAUAAUAUUUUACAAUCAUAAUAGAACAUAUACCCCUAAAAGGAUACAUUUGAUUGAUUUGUUACGCUACGUCACCAAUAUAUCCAUUGCAUACUAGAAUUUUUCGUGUUUUAGAGUGUACGUAUAUAAUAUUAAUUAAUAAUUUUUGUAUUAUAGUGUAAAUUAUAUAUUAUAUAUAUAUAAUAUAUAUAUAUAUAUAUAUAUAUAUAUAUAUAUAUAUAGAGUGAGGCUACUAUGCUAUCGGAAGCACGGAGCCUUCCGUGCUUCCACCUCGUUUUCGAUGUUGCGACUUUCGAAUCGUCGAUCGGCUCCGUUAAACUUGAUUAGAGUAUUUGGAGCACCUAGAAAAUAAAUUUUAUAUUUUCGAUAUUCAUUUGCCUAGUGAUCGAAUGGGCUCAAAAUCAACAAAUUUCAAUAGCCGUAGUGAGCUGUUUGUAAGUUUAACAGUGUAAAAAUAUUCAAUCAUGUGAAAUUUUGAUAGAAAAUUAUUUAUACUAUAUAAACAAGAUCAAUAUCUUUGAUUUAAAAUUAUAAUGUCAUAUUAUUACAUUUUGUAAGAUUUUUAUUUUCAGCCGUUGAUUUUGAGCCCCUUCAUUCACUAGGCAAAUGAUAUCGUAAAAUCAUAAAAUUUAUUUUCUAGGUACUUCAAAUACUCUAGAUCAAGUUUAACGGAGCCAAUCGACGAUUCGAAAGUCGCAACAUCGAAAAAAGGUGGAAGCACGGAAGGCUCCGUGCUUUCCGAUAGCAUAAUAGCCGUCAACUCUAUAUAUAUAUAUAUAUAUAUAUAUAUAUAUAUAUAUAUAUAAAACAAUACUCUACCAUGAGAAGGAAUUUUUGGGUAAAUUAUGUGGAAGGAUCCAGAUCUUUUAGUCAGGUUUCAAAUGGACUCCUCACUUCUAAUUCUUGCAGUUAUGUCCUUAAUUUCUUCUAAUUGUUUAAUUGAAUCAUUGCCAUCUAAGGCCGACAAACUAGCUUGCUGUUCUUAAGCUUGUUCAACUCGAAAUAAACUCGAUAUUGAAUCACUGGUUUAAUAAACGCUCGAUAUCUUAACGAGCCGAAUAUAAGCCGGAGUCAGCUCACUCGUGUUUGACUCGAUAUUGCUCGAAUGCAUAUACUUUUAUAUAUUAUUUUUAUUGUAUUUAUAUAUACAAUUACACAUAAAAAUUUUUACUGUUGAAUUUUGGCCCAACAAAAAUGUAAAGAGGCCCGUUUAUUUGUAGGAUUUCAACUAUUAGAUCGAGAUAUAUGUAACCGGUAUUAUUUUAGGAUUCUAUUUCACGUAAAAAAAUUAUAAUAAUAACUUUUAAAAUUAAUCAAUUUGAGUUUUAAAUUUGGAGCUGUAAAUGAUUUGAGUUGUAAACAAGCUAGUUCAGCCUGGUGAGCUAAUCAAAGCUAAUGAGCCAAACACAAGCUAGCUCGUUAAAUUGCGAUUUGAUCACGACCUAAGCUUUUUCGAUUCAUCAGGAGCUCAGGCCGAACACGAGCUAGCCUCUAAAAAUUUCAAGUCGAUCUCUAGUUGGCCCCAGCUCGCUUGUUUCGGCUCGUUGACAGCCUUAUUCCCAUUUUAACAUUUUUAAUUUAGAUAAAACUUGCCACUUUAGUAACGACCUAGUAUGGUUAAAGUUUAAACACUGAUUCUUACAAAUCAUAUAAUAAAUAGGGAUAAUUGCCUAUAUACCUCUCAAAACUUUAGAAAUAUCUCAUUUAUCUUUACUUCUUUUUUUUUUCGUUCCAAUAUAUCUCUCAUAUGUUCCUCCGUUAUUUCAAAAUACCUCUAAAGUUAUCAUCCCUUAAGUUAACUUGGGUUAGACGUUAGUUAAAUAUCUACUAGAGUUAAAAAAAAAUCAAAAUGCCUUUUUAACCUUAGCUUAAGGGCAAAUAAGAAAUGCUGAUGAUGAUAGAAGAGUAUAUUUGAAAAUAUCAAAAAUCAAAAUACUUUUUGUACUUCCCACUUAAGGACAAAUAAGAAAAGUAGGUAACGGUGGAAGGGUAUAUUGGAAAGGGCAAAAUAGUAAUUUCAUACAGAUAACAGUUAUUGCUAAUAGUUUAUUAACAAAAUUUAACUCUUGGGGUAUAUUUGAAAUAUGUUGGAUUGUAAAAAGAGUAUUUUCAAUAAUACCCUUCUAAAAGGGAUAAAUCAGAAAGUCGGAAACUUUUUUUAGGUAUAUAAGCAAUUGCCACUAAUAAAUAUUUGUUUGCAGUAUAUUUUAGAAGCUACUUUAUGCCUAGAUAAUAAUAGAUUCUCAAAAUACGAGUAGGCUACUAUACUCUUACGAGUAUAGAACCUUUCGUACUCAUAAGUUAUUUUUUAUGUUGAAAAUUUCGAAUGGACAAUCUACACUGUUAAACAUGAUCUAGAAUAUUUAAAAUUUUUAGAAAAUAAAUUUUGUAAUUUUUGAAAAUUAUUAUAAAGUUCAUCAAGCAAGUAUAAAAUGAACGGUCAAAAUCGAACGACAUCCUAAAAAUGGAUGAUCGGAUCCUUCAAUUUAAGAUCGGAGUUAUUGAUCUUACCUAGGUAGUGAAUAGAAUUUUUUAUCAAAAAUUCAACCUAUUCUGAUUCUUUUAUACCGUUAAACUAGCAAGUUUCCCAUACCGGCUGUUAAAAAUUUUCAAUUUUGUGAGUUUUUGAUCGUAAAGUAAAUGAUAUCGAAAAAUUAUAAAAUUUGAUUUCUAAAAGUUUUAAAUGCUCUAAAUAAUGUUUAACGGUAUGGAUCGUCGAUUAGGAAGCUCUAUCAUCGAAAAAAUUUAUGAGUACGAAGAUAAUCGUACUCAUAAGAGUAUAAUAGCCGGACUCCUCAAAAUACAUAAUAUCUUAUACAUAAACUAAACUCUUCAGAUAUAUUCACAAAUGAUGGUUAUCGGGGUAUAUUAUAAUUUUUACAUAUUGAUCGUCAAAUUUUAGGUAUAUAUGUUACAUAAAAUGUACGUAUUUCAGAAAAUAAAAGUAUAUAUGAUUAGAGAAUAUGUAAAAACUCAAGAUUAGGGACCUAACUGGAAAUAUUAGAAGGCUAGGAACUCAAUUGAAAUUAUUACAACAAUUUGAUGCAUGGUUUGUAGGGAUUGGCAAUCCAGCUCGCUGUUCGUGAGUGUUUUUUUUUUUUUUUUUUUUUUUUUUUUUUUUUUUUUGAGCGAUAGAUAGCACGAUGUUCGUGAGUGUUGAUACCAAAAAAAAUUAACACAUGCCGAUCUAACCCACGUAUGAGGCAAAGAAAUAAGGACACGUGGUACACCAGGAGUCGGCAAUAAGACGUCUGAAGGUUAAGAGCGUUUAGGAUGGAACGGUUGAGAAGUGUGGUGUAACUUCCAUGAGAAGUGGGCCAUAACUUUCAUGAGAAGUGGGGUGUAACUUUCAAGAUCAUGCCUACACCACUUCCCCCACUACUAAAAACCAUUCAAUAUUGUAGGCUGAGAAUAUAUUACUAUAAAUAGUAACUUCAAAGCCUGUAAUAGGGGUCUUUCUCUCCCCUGAACGAGAAGAUCACCGCAUUUUCAUAUCUUUUCUUUUCUGUAUUUACUGCUUUCCUACGAGUAGUUUUUAAGAUAGAUCUCUAGAGUCUGUGUGCCCCACGGGCACACUCUGUUGUAAACUAUAUUUUCAGAGUCUGUAUGCCCUUCGGGCACACUCUGUUAUAAACUAUAUUUUCAGAGUCUAUAUGUCCUUUGGGCACACUCUGUUUUAUUAAUAUACAAAGGUAUUCGGCUCUUUCAGCCGACCAUACUUUGUGUUUUCAUCUAUUCGACUCUUUAGCCGACUCUAGUUUCUGUGCAUUCUAUACAUUCGGCUCAUCCAACCGAACGAUUCUAUAGUAGAGAUUUCGAACCCGGCUGAUCCGAUCCCUCAUCAGCCGAAUCGUUUGAUCAAUCGAAGGGCGCAAACUUCGAGGGUCAUUAUCCGAAGCCGUUUUCACCUCGACAGGCUCCCCGAGGAGGACCUUUGACCGCGUCGAGGGUCAGGGAAAAUUUGGCUACGAACAGUGAGCGAGCUCAUGUUCUCGAGAUUGAAUCGCUUGUUUAUUAAACGAGCCGAAUACGAACUGAAUUUUUUAAUUUGUUUAAAUAACGAACCGAAUAUGAACUGGGAUUAGCCCGCUCAUGUUCGACUCGAUAACAUCUCGAAUAUAUAUAUUUUAUAUUCAUAUAAUUUAUAAAAAUAAAUAAUUAUAUAUAUCAAAUAUAAAUUUUUAUUAUUUGAUUUUUAGUGUAAUAUAAAGAUAAAACGAAACUCAAUUAUAAAAAAACUCAUUUCUAUAUUAAUUUAAUACUUGUAUCAAAAUCUAAUGGCGUAAGAUCAAAAAAAAAU